GUCUUAAUAGUUUAAAUUAAAACUCUGGUCUUGUAAGCCAGAAAUAACAUUAGUUUUAAGGCA
This 63-nucleotide transfer RNA is filed under the name Ceriodaphnia dubia. RNAcentral describes it as "tRNA-Thr". It matches the Rfam family "tRNA". Rfam says of the family: Transfer RNA (tRNA) molecules are approximately 80 nucleotides in length. Their secondary structure includes four short double-helical elements and three loops (D, anti-codon, and T loops). The record is from RNAcentral. Lineage: Eukaryota; Metazoa; Arthropoda; Branchiopoda; Diplostraca; Daphniidae.